CCUACGGGAGGCUGCAGUGGGGAAUAUUGCACAAUGGGGGAAACCCUGAUGCAGCGACGCCGCGUGAGUGAAGAAGUAUUUCGGUACGUAAAGCUCUAUCAGCAGGGAAGAAAAUGACGGUACCUGACUAAGAAGCCCCGGCUAACUACGUGCCAGCAGCCGCGGUAAUACGUAGGGGGCAAGCGUUAUCCGGAUUUACUGGGUGUAAAGGGAGCGUAGACGGCAGCGCAAGUCUGGAGUGAAAUCCCAUGGCUUAACCAUGGAACUGCUAUGGAUACUGUGCAGCUAGAGUGCAGGAGAGGUAAGCGGAAUUCCUAGUGUAGCGGUGAAAUGCGUAGAUAUUAGGAGGAACACCAAUGGCGAAGGCGGCUUACUGGACUGUAACUGACGUUGAGGCACGAAAGCGUGGGGAGCAAACAGGAUUAGAUACCCCAGUAGUC
Molecule: ribosomal RNA, 440 nt
Filed under: uncultured bacterium
Lineage: Bacteria
Description: partial 16S ribosomal RNA
Rfam family: Bacterial small subunit ribosomal RNA
Source: RNAcentral